CAGUAGCCGCGGGAAUACGAAGGGUGCAAGCGUUACUCGGAAUUACUGGGCGUAAAGCGUGCGUAGGUGGUGGUUUAAGUCCGUUGUGAAAGCCCUGGGCUCAACCUGGGAAUUGCAGUGGAUACUGGGUCACUAGAGUGUGGUAGAGGAUAGUGGAAUUUCCGGUGUAGCAGUGAAAUGCGUAGAGAUCGGAAGGAACAUCUGUGGCGAAGGCGACUAUCUGGGCCAACACUGACACUGAGGCACGAAAGCGUGGGGAGCAAACAGGAUUAGAUACCUGGGUAGUCCCUGUCUCUUAUAC
Molecule: ribosomal RNA, 301 nt
Filed under: uncultured bacterium
Lineage: Bacteria
Description: partial 16S ribosomal RNA
Rfam family: Bacterial small subunit ribosomal RNA
Source: RNAcentral